Non-coding RNA from Arachis ipaensis, 2872 nucleotides. Lineage: Eukaryota; Viridiplantae; Streptophyta; Magnoliopsida; Fabales; Fabaceae. The record is from RefSeq and is a predicted model, not a curated record.
AAUUGAGUAAUGAAUAUAGUUGUUUUUUUGAAAUUCCUUUCAUGGAAUUAUCUCUCUCCCUCUUAAUUCUCUCUAAAUUCCCUCUGAUUGAUUAAUUCUUCUCUAUUCCUAAAUCAUAUCCCUUACACUCUGGCCAUCUUCCUGCUCUGGUCACCAUGCCCUAACCCUCAACAUUGUGCUGGCCACCGUCUUCUUUUUCAUCCCCUCCACCGCGUCUCCGCCUCGCAUCUGCUACAUCCUCUCUACCGCGCCUCCGCCUCGCAUCUGCUUUGCUCUAUUUUCCCUGCUGGGCGUUCGUCUCUGCCAUUCCCUGCCUCGCCGUUUUUUCUUUGCUCGAUUCUCUGCUGAGAGGAAUCGAUAGAUUGCCCCCAGGGUUUCUUUAAGGCUGCAACUAAAGUUCUUCCUCGACAGUUGGUAAGGCUUAGGCAGCAGAUUGCUAACCUUCAAGGUAGUUGAGCUCAGAUGAGAGGCAUAGCAACUCACACAUAGGUAGAUUGUUGAUGUGUUGUUUUCUUUUUCGGAUGGUUGUUUAUGCAAGGAGGGAUGUUUAUCAGUUUAAUGCUCUUUGGUGUGGUUGGGAUUUUGAUUCUGGCUAUGCAUGCCCAUUCUUCUGUUGCUGCUAGUAUGCAAGGAGCUAGUAAGGCAAUGGCAGCUUUGAAUAAGAUUGGCCCAUGAUAUUGAUAUCAGCAUUCUGCUUGGUUUUACUCAGAAUAAAGGAUAGUAAGGUUAAAUUAAAUAUUUCUUAGUUUAUAAAGAACAAGCAUUUAGAAUAGGGGACCUGCUACCUAUAUGGAUCAUUUUCAUAUUGUAUGUGUACAAUUUUAUAGUAGUAACAUGGCAAUUAAAUAAGGAAAUAUAGAUUGGAGGGAACCCUAUAGUCUAUAGGCAACUCUUACCACUACUACUAUAUGUAUUAUGUUUUCUCAUUUAAUUAAUUUCAACUUCUCUUUUUGUAUUUAUCACUUAUUACAAUGAAGAGACCUAGUAGAUCUAGAAAUUGUGCUAUGUUUAACUGUAUAUAGCAUGCUGAUAACUCUGAUUCCAAUCUUCUACUAUGGAGAUCUAAGAUCUGGUUGAACUUGACUGAUUUUAUUUAAUGUGCAUAGCUUGUGUGUUUAUUUUUCAUUUUUCUUGUUGUCUUGACUGUUCGUCAGCCUUAUUGUCUGAACUAAUUUUUCUUCUGAUCUAGUUGCUGGACGGCCUUUUGUUUGAUAGAGUAUCAUAUUAUGGUGUGCCUCAUAUUUUUCUUGGCCCCUAUUUUUCUUUGAAAACUCAUGUAAUUUAUGGUGUAGUUUGUGUAAUACUGCACUCUAUUGUUUCCAUGCUCUCACCAAUAAUUGAUUGAUCAUGCAUGAACUUAAAAUAGCUCAAACUAAGAAAUGAAAUAUGCAUGCUGGAUAUUAGAGCAGUGGUGCUCAUCAUCAUCAAUCUUUCCCUUCCCUUCUCCAGCGCCACCACUAGGCUGCCACCGUGUUGCUCCGGCCAUUCACUCAUCAUCAUCAAUCUUUUCAUUCCCUUCCCCUGUUCCAAUUCCCUACUUCCCAGGUUUCCCUUUUAUCUCAUUUGAUUUUAUUUCUGUUUGGUUAAUCUAGUUUAGCUCAUUUUGUUUAACUUGUUUAGUUCAACUAAUUUAGUUUAGUUGAAUUAGGUGGUUAAUUAGAGAAUCUGGAUUGGUUAGUGGAUGUAGGUUUUGUUUUGUUUACUGCUGCUGUUCGGAAUGAAUUUGUCUUUCCUCUGAAUGUUGCGUUGGAUGAACUUGUUUAUUAUGCUGUUUUGGUGUUGAAUUCUGGACUUGUGAUUGCUGUUUAUUGUAUUUUUGUUCACUAUCCAAAAUAGAUUCUGUGAAAGUGUUACUGUUUGAUUAAAUUUUCUUGGUUUAUUGUUGCUGAGUGCUGCUCUGCUUGUUGCUUGGUCCAUAUUAUAUGAACUGCAAUAAUUUCAGUUUGUGGAACUGGUUAAGUCAUAUGAAUUCUCUUUGCUGCUUGCUUGAACCUGGGAAAUAUGCUAUUUACUGCUGCUGUUUAAACAAUGUUUCUCUUUUUUCUUUUGGAUUUAUUUUCUUAAUAAUUUGAUUUCAGGGUAGCAUGACUUACCACUGAUGUGAAGAAAAGAAUCACAAGUUCACAACUGUAUUUCUUUGUUGUUGUUACUUCUCAAAAGUUUUGCAGUGUCAUAUUCUGGAUUUUUUCAAGGUACAUCAUGUUUAAUGUUCUACUGAUGUUUGUAAUUUUGGCUUUCUAGGAUUUUCUUGGCUUGGUGGAGAAAUUUUACUAUCUCUCUGGCAGAUAUGACAUUGAGCUGACUGUUGGUGAUGCUGUCAUGGAGAACUCUUUCUUACGGCCACUUGGCCAUCUUGAAUUAGAUCUUCCAGAAGCACCUACUAGCAAGGCACCCCGUCCUCCUCCACUAGCUGUUGAUCCAUACACGAGAUAUGGGCCCAAAGCAGAGAUAACCCACUUAUUCAGGACUCUUGAAAAAUGACCACCAACACAACUCUCUCUUAUUUUCUUGAGUUUGACCCUUCUGCCCUUAAUUGGCUAUUUGGUUGGACUACUGCGCUUGGGGGUAAACUUGAGGAACUUUCCUUCUUCAGCAGCACCUGCUACACUUGAGGAACAUUCUUCAUGCAAGUGCUUUGUUGGGGAGGGGAAUUUGGACCUUAAAUGAAAAAAAUUUGUACCAAUUUCUUGUCAGUGCUUGAGGAGAAUCAUAAAUUCCUGGCUAGUAUUGGAAUGGAUAACUUGAACGCUUAAUGCACAAAGUGGAGCAGUUUUAGGUUGAUUCUGAUCUUUUACUAAGUAUUUAGGUUGAUGAUCAUCUCUAUUAGUGUAAUUUGAUAUAUUAUGAGCAAUUCUAACUUGUAUUGUUUCUG